Molecule: ribosomal RNA, 695 nt
Filed under: uncultured Lachnospiraceae bacterium
Lineage: Bacteria; Bacillati; Bacillota; Clostridia; Lachnospirales; Lachnospiraceae
Description: bacterial SSU rRNA
Rfam family: Bacterial small subunit ribosomal RNA
Source: RNAcentral
GCGUGCUUAACACAUGCAAGUCGAACGGGAAACCAUUUAUUGAAGCUUCGGCAGAUUUAGCUGGUUUCUAGUGGCGGACGGGUGAGUAACGCGUGGGUAACCUGCCUUAUACAGGGGGAUAACAGUCAGAAAUGACUGCUAAUACCGCAUAAGCGCACAGGACCGCAUGGUCUGGUGUGAAAAACUCCGGUGGUAUAAGAUGGACCCGCGUUGGAUUAGCUUGUUGGUGAGGUAACGGCUCACCAAGGCGACGAUCCAUAGCCGGCCUGAGAGGGUGAACGGCCACAUUGGGACUGAGACACGGCCCAGACUCCUACGGGAGGCAGCAGUGGGGAAUAUUGCACAAUGGGGGAAACCCUGAUGCAGCGACGCCGCGUGAAGGAAGAAGUAUCUCGGUAUGUAAACUUCUAUCAGCAGGGAAGAUAGUGACGGUACCUGACUAAGAAGCCCCGGCUAACUACGUGCCAGCAGCCGCGGUAAUACGUAGGGGGCAAGCGUUAUCCGGAUUUACUGGGUGUAAAGGGAGCGUAGACGGACUGGCAAGUCUGAUGUGAAAGGCGGGGGCUCAACCCCUGGACUGCAUUGGAAACUGUUAGUCUUGAGUGCCGGAGAGGUAAGCGGAAUUCCUAGUGUAGCGGUGAAAUGCGUAGAUAUUAGGAGGAACACCAGUGGCGAAGGCGGCUUACUGGACGGUA